UGGAGACUUCGGAGACUGCAGUUGCUGGUGUUUCUGGUGAGAGAGCUUCCAGAUGAGGUUAACCCUUGGACAGACUGAGAGAAGCAGGUUGUCCUUCCUAGUGAGGGUGGCCUCAUCCAAUCAGUGGAAGACCUGGACAGGACAGAACUGCCAAGUAAGACGAACCUUCCCGGCGUGCGGAGUUGAGACCACCAUCGCUGCCUUGGACUCAAAGUGAAAAGGCAGCCGUUCCCAGCUCUCCAGGCUGCCAGCUUGCAGACGAGCUUCCACCACCGAGCUGUCCCGGGUCUCCAGCGUGCCACCCACAGAUCCUGGGACCUCCCCAAUCCUUUCUAAGAACAAACGGAAUUGGCUAUGGAUAAUUCAUAUCAUCUCAACCAACGAAACUCAUAUAAUGGACUUCCCUCUGAGAAGAAAAACAACUUCCUUGUGUCUGAAGAUCAUGGACAGAAAAUCCUAACUGUACUACAGAAUUUUAGAGAACAAAAUGUCUUCUAUGAUUUCAAAAUAAUCAUGAAAGAUGAAACGAUCCCAUGUCAUCGUUGUGUCUUGGCAGCAUGCAGUGACUUCUUCAGGGCCAUGUUUGAAGUGAACAUGAAAGAGCGAGACGGUGGGAGUGUCACCAUCACUAACCUGUCCUCCAAAGCAGUAAGAGCGUUUCUGGAUUACGCCUACACUGGGAAAACCAAGAUAACGGACGACAACGUGGAAAUGUUCUUCCAGUUGUCAUCGUUUCUUCAAGUUUCCUUCCUGUCCAAAGCUUGCAGCGACUUCUUAAUAAAAAGCAUUAACCUCGUCAAUUGUUUACAGUUGUUAUCUCUCUCGGACAGCUACGGCUCCCCCCGCCUGUUUGACCACGCGCUCUACUUUGUGCAGCACCACUUUUCCUUACUAUUUAAAUCCAGUGACUUCCUGGAGAUGAACUUUGGAGUGCUGCAGAAAUGUCUGGAAUCCGACGAACUAAAUGUCCCUGAAGAGGAGACUGUACUGAAAGUUGUCCUUAGCUGGACCAAACAUAACCUCGAAUCAAGGCAAAAGCAUCUGCCUUAUUUGAUUAAAAAAGUAAGAUUACAUCAGUUAUCCGAGGAGACCCUUCAAAACUGUCUGCUCAGCGAAGAGUGCUUACUCAAAAGCACAAACUGUUUUGACAUAAUCAUGGAUGCUGUUAAGUGUGUGCAGGGUUCUGGUGGGCUCUUCCCUGAUGCUCGGCCGUCCACAACCGAAAAAUACAUAUUUGUUCACAAAACAGACGAAAACGGUGGAGACCAAUACACCUUUUGCUACAAUAUAAACAGUGACUCAUGGAAAGUGCUGCCGCAGUCUCACCUGAUUGACUUGCCAGGGUCCAGUCUGUCCAGUUACGGGGAGAAGAUAUUCCUGACGGGCGGGUGCAAAGGGCCAUGCUGCAGAACGGUCCGGCUUCACAUUGCGGAGUCCUACCACGAUGCGACCGACCAAACCUGGUGCUACUGUCCGGUGAAAAAUGAAUUCUUCCUGGUAUCAGCCAUGAAGACACCAAGAACCAUGCACACGUCAGUUCUGGCUCUCAACAGAUUAUUUGUCAUAGGUGGAAAGACAAAGGGCUCUCAGGACAUUAAAAGCCUCUUAGAUGUUGAGUCUUACGACCCUCUUUCUAAAGAGUGGAUGUCUGUCAGCCCGUUACCCAGGGGCAUAUACUAUCCUGAAGCGAGCGCGUGCCAAAAUGUCAUUUAUGUUCUUGGGUCAGAGGUCGAGAUUACGGACGCCUUCAACCCAUCACUUGAUUGCUUCUUCAAGUACAACGUGACCACUGACCAGUGGUCGGAACUAGUAGCAGAGUUUGGGCAGUUUUUUCAUGCAACACUAAUUAAAGCUGUCCCCGUCAACUGCACGCUGUACAUAUGUGACCUCUCCACCUAUAAGGUUUAUAGUUUUUGUCCAGAUACCUGUGUCUGGAAGGGUGAAGGCUCUUUUGAGUGUGCAGGCUUUAAUGCAGGUGCAGUUGGAAUUGAAGACAAAAUUUACAUCUUAGGCGGUGACUACGCACCGGAUGAAAUCACGGACGAAGUGCAAGUCUACCACAGCAGCAGGUCUGAGUGGGAGGAAGUCUCGCCCAUGCCCAGAGCCUUAACAGAAUUUUACUGCCAGGUAAUUCAGUUUAAUAAAUACAGAGACCCGUGGUUUUCUAACCAUUUCUGAAAGGAGUAUGUGGCUAGACAUCCUGAAACUAUCCCAGUUCUAGAAGCCUGCUGUGUAUCUGUUAACCUUAAAUAGCUGGUAAAAAGGCCUUUACCUCUUAGUAAAAUAAAAUGUUACCUUCUGUUAGAGAAUUACUACGAACGUACAGCAUAUAUGACCUAGCAGUUGCUGGAAACUUAAAAUACAAAAUUCAUUUACCAAAAAUUAUAUCAGAUAUAAUUUAAUCCUGGAGAAUCCGGAAUACUUAGUAUUUUCAUAUGUAAAUAAGACUCCUAGGUAUGGAUGGCUUGAUUUUUAGAGUAAUUUAUCUGUGAAAGACUGGGAAGAACAAAUCAAUGUUCGCAGGUUUGUACUAUUUAGAGGGGGGAGAUCUCUGUAGGUGGUGAUAGUGAAUUAUUUGCAAACUAUAUUAUAUGAAGUAAAAUUAGAAAGAGGUGAGAACCUACCUUGUUACUGCAGGUGUAAGAGAGGCUGCGUCCCCAUCCUUCCUGGUCACUGCUUAGCUUCUUUUAGUCCCUUCUUCCCGUUUUCACCAUCAUUUUUUUGGUCAGAAAUUUUCCCAAAAUGCAGUGUAUUUUCCAGCCUUCUAAACUGUGCACUGAACACGGCUUGACUUUUUUUUUUAUGAUUCAACUCUUCAUUAGGAGCAUAAUGUACCAUGUUAUAACGCCAUAAUGCCAUCAGCAAUUACCGGAAUGCUUUUAAAAUUGCUGGUUCUGGUAGUGCUCAGUGCUAGUUGGUCCCGAUUUCUGGCAGGGGCCUCUCUUAUUCUCUGGUUCGAGCUCAGUGAAUGAACACUCUCGAUUUAAUUGUUAGUUAUAAGUUACACCUGCUCUGAGUCUAUCUGUACAUGUAUCCCACUGAGUGAAGUUUUUGGAUUCUAGGAUGGUAGUCGUAACAUACUUUUCCUGUAUCCUUGCCAUAUUCCAGCAUAACCGAGAAAGGAGAAACUAAAGGGAAACAGAAUCCUUUCCUCGUCUUGUUUCAUUAUUGUGUCAUCCUGAUGUCCGCCAAUCUUCGCAUUGGCCAUUGAUUGAUUUAUCAUAAUGUUCCUAGACAUAUCCUUGUUAUCAGGCCCAGGGAGCUCCGUCUGCAUUUGAUUUAAUAUACUUCCUAACACACAUGGCUUUCUGCCUUUUUUCUGCAAUUGCUGCACUUCACUGGUUAGUCGUUUUCUUCUCACUGCCAUCCCUUUGUAUCUGCAACUGAGUGCUCUUCUUCAGUUCUCCCGCAGGAGAAAGUACCCUGUCUAGUUAUAAAACCCCAGACUCUUCCUUUAUUUACUGUUCUUUAUCUGCUGGGCGUGGCUCCACUAAUAACUGAUCUUGUUCACUCUAAUUCUGCAUCUUCUGUAGAGAGAGCGCUUCAAUUUCAUCUCUCUGCUGUACUGAAAAAUGGUUUUCUGUGUUCCAAAUCCUCAAGGAACCCAACCAUAGGCACGACACACAUGGUCAAUGACCGAACUGGUCACACCUUCCUGACCCCACCAAUCCCUGGAUUCACUGUCCAGGAGCCAGGUCUGUCAUUCUGGCCUCACCCUCCGUUCCGGAUCUCUGACAGGCACGUCUCAGUGAUCUCUCAGGUUCAUUCUCGGUCCCCCCAGAAAGAGCUGUUUUUCCUGUCUGCAAGCCUAGGUCAGAGGAAAUGACAUCCUUGUAUCUAUGGCCUCUUCCCUGGGUCUUUAUUUUUUUUUCUUUAAAGCCCACUUUCCCUUCAUUAUCAUCCUUCAGCCAAUGUUGCAUUGUAAGAGACAAAAUAAUUGUGCUCAUUAUCCACAUUGCUUUCAUUCUUGUGGAAAAAUUCCGUUAAACAUUUCUAAAUCCUUUAUCAUUUGUUUUGCUCCACUACACUUGGAUUAUGCUUGCAAAAAAAAUCUAAUAUUGUAACAUCUUCUACAGUUGAAAGUAAGUAUAUGCCAUUAUUAUAUGGAAAAAUGAUUAAAUUCAGCAUUUAUAUGAGAGCAAUUCAAAGUCAAUGGAAACUCAUGGAGUGAUCUGCAAACUUGUUUUAAAACAUGGACCACCUUUCGUUCACCUAUUGCCCGUGAGGCUGAGCAGUAAGAAGAAUAUGGCGUAAUCAAAAUUAAGUACAAUCCCAUAACAGCUCUGGUUCUGAGUGGGAAAGAGGACUUUAUCACAGCCGCAUUCGCUACAUGCUACCCUUGAAAGUUACAAAGUUAGUUGAGAGUGACCACAUCCUGCAACACGACUCUGUUUUUCCCAGCUACCAACAGCAACUGAGGAUGUGUGCAGUGUACCUAACUCAAGCUGUAUGGUUUAAAAAUCAGAGUCAAGUAGAGAGAGAAGCAUCUGUUUACUUUGUGAGAUUUGGAAGCAAUAAAUGCAAUGAUUAAGUAUAUUGUUGAACAUGCAGUGUUACUUUUAGGUCCUCAUUUUCAGUUUAAUUGGGGUCCAAUAUUUGGAAACUCUUUUAUAUUUCGAAUUGAAACUAAGACUAUCUUCCAAUGGGCAGCUCUGGAGGGCACUGAAAAUAAAAAGGCUCGAAUUUGUUAUAGGCAAGCAGAUUUCCAUUCAGUGUAAGAAACAACUUUCCUCCACAGAGCCGUAUUUAGAGUGAGGUGGUGGAAUGUGGCCUGUGGCACAUGGUCAGCCCGAGAAACGCCUAUGCAGGAGCGCACAACCAAAGAUUCCUAUACCCCGCACAUUUUGAUCUCAGCAGUUUUCUGGCCGAGGACCAGCGACUUCCUCCUCCAAUUUAUUUAGCAUUUGGGCAUUCUAGGUAACUUGAUUUCGAUGGUUCUGCAUACUCAAGGUUUCUACAGGACUUGAGUCUUAAAACUCCAUCAUUUCAAGAGCAUUCUUACUGGAGGGAAUUUGCUCUCUGUUCCCUUGUUUUAAUUAUUCAGGAAAAAGUCUGUAAGCGGUGCUGACAUUUACAGUGCACUGGUAAUAGGAUUUUUCCUUCCGUCCACCACAGGUGCACAUUUGUUUCACAGAGAAUAGAAACUGAAAGACCAGUACCUAAAAUUUUCUCCCAAAUUCAUGCUUUAUUUUGCUGCAAAUGUUGCUAUAUUGUUAAAUAUUGUGAGUCUAAUGAUUAUGUGAUUAAAAAUUUUUUUAUAUCUUAAAAACUCAGAUGUGUUUAGAAGUCAAUUCUAUGUGACGGCACUAUGACAGUUGGUCACAUUUAAUAUCUGAAUACAUAUUCGGGGUAUUCAGCUCGCAGGAUGAUACUCUUACAAGACUUAGCAAAAGGUAACUCUUCUAACUCCUACACCCUAUUCAAAUUGGAAAGUAACCUUGGAAUCUGAUCUGAUACAGCUUCUGGCCUAGGAGAGAAGUCCCUCUCAAUUCUAAAGCACCCUAAUGACUUUUUUUUUUUUUUCAGUUUCUAGUUGAGUUCUUUGAGGAGGAAAGAGCUCAAUGCCUUCACGUUUGAAAAGUUCUGAUACAAAGUUCUCUUUGAUAUUCAAAGUGCUGUUGCCUCCUGGUACUAACUUCCAGCCCUUGCUCCCAGAGAGCUGUCUCCACAAGUACUUCAAAUAGUGGCGGGUCCCCCCUGCCUCUAGAAUCGAGGCCUCAUUUUCCUUCUUGUUCAGAUGCUUCUUAACAGCUGAAAACCGGCCACAGUAGCCGGGUUACAAGCCUUUUCGUUGUUGUUGCCUCAGAAAAUCGCUUGCAGCUCUCUUGCCUUGUUGGUGGGUUGAGCCUGACCAGCACUGCCGAAUCUCUCACUAAUUCUGGCAUUAUUUAUUACCUCAACCAGCUCUCCAGUUCUUAUACAUCUAAACAGGAGCUAGAGCCUUGCUGGGUCUCUCCGCCCCCCCCGCCUUACCCCAUCAACAUAAUCACAAACACAGAUUUUCUGGGAGAGGAAUUCUAAAGCCAAAUUUUAAUAAGUCUUUUAAUCAUUUCUCAUUAGAUAGGGGCUUCCAACUCUUAAAAACAUUUCUAAUAAAGACCUUAAAAAGUAUAGAAAACUUAGAAAUCAGAGCAAUCACGUUCUUUGUGGUUACUGGGAGGAGAAUUGGCUCACAAAUGAAUAAGGACUAGCCUUAUGGGAGUAACAGUCUAAGUCUGGAGCGUCACCUAUGCUGUUGACCGACCGGUUGGAGCAUGGUGCCGCCAAGACACAAUGCCACCGUUAAACAAGGCUCUGAGUCACGUAGCUUCAUUCCCAUUAACCCUGAUGUUUCCUAACUGUCCACUGGCUCAAAAAUUCUGCUGUUGGUUCCAAGGGUAACAAGGCUGUUGGGAUAACUCAGAGUACAGUUCUCGAAGUAUCACAGUGUGGUGUGAGUCUUUUUAGGAAUUGGGACAUAUAUUCAUCAUUUCUGGACCUGAUUAGCACAGUACCUGCAUGUAAGUAAGACAUCCACUAAACGGAUAUUCUGCUGCGCCAAUAUGUGAAGCAAAAUACAUACCGAAUGGGUCUAAGUGUACUUUGUGCAACUUACUUUCGUGUACAAAGGAAAUUAUUUUGUUCUAUUUUAGGAUUUUACAUGAUCACAUUGUACUUUUGUUAUUUAUUAAUGUAUAUGUUAAUUCUUUUCGUAAUACUUGAUGUCUUUCUCAUGUUCAAAGCUUGAGAAAAUGGGGUUAGAUAUUUCUACAACUGCAGUUUUUGUUGGCAUAUGGAAAAGUAAGAACCAAGGCCCUGCGGAAAGCCAGACUGCGCCACACGUGCCCUGUCCAGCUCUGGAGAACAUGCAUAAUUGCAGAAAACAUGGAUAGUUGGUUCUUGAAAGUAAAAUUAUAGAUUCAAAGUCAUUUAUCCACCUAAUUUUUUUCAGUGUGUAGGGAUCACGUGUUCUCAGUGAAUUUUAAUUAUAAUAUCUAAUUCUGUUUCCUUUCAAAGGUAAUAAUAGAUAAGACAGUGACUGCAAAUUCCUUAGGAGACAUGCAACCCCGCUGUGUCCCCCAGUAAAGCAUAAGAGUUUCAGCGACCUUUCCCCGCCUUAGGCAGGCAGUGCUCCCAGCUACCGGACCUACACAAAUGAGUAAUUUUCUUCUUUCCCUCGUAGUGGAAUGUGGGCUUUGCCAUAUGCUGUGCAAAAUAACAUCAGAAGUUUGCUUCAGGUCCAUGUGAACUGUAUUAACAUGCAGUAACACAUUUCAUCCUAUAAAAUUAUUAAUUUAUUAAAAUGUAUCUCAGAAAACGCA
Molecule: RNA transcript, 7301 nt
Organism: Suricata suricatta (meerkat)
Lineage: Eukaryota; Metazoa; Chordata; Mammalia; Carnivora; Herpestidae
Gene: KBTBD3
Gene name: kelch repeat and BTB domain containing 3
Exons: 5
Source: RefSeq, a predicted model, not a curated record